CCAUCUCCCGUGGACCCCGCACCCCUUGCAAUAUCCCCUGCAGAUCCUGCACCCAUCACAACGUCCCCCGUUGAUCCCGUGCCUAUUGCACCAUCCCCUAUGGACCCUGAACCCAUCGUUCUGCCUCCUGCAGAUCCUGCACCCACCACCAAGUCCACAGCGGAUUUUUUUUUUUUUUUUUUGCUUUUGCAAGGGAAACGGGGCAGGUGAAGGAAACCAGCUGCACAUUUUCAUGUCCUGGCUCCGCCACUUGGGCCAGAAACUCCAAUUCUCGGGAACUCCAAGAGCAGUUUUGCAACCUGACCUCCUCGGGCCGUGCCAAGACCCAGCAGCCCCUACCCCAUCCCCUUCCACGAGAUUCUGCUGAAUCGGCUGAAAUCGGCCUGUUUCAGAGCCAGUUCCUUCUCCUGCUUCUCCUGUGAAGCUCUGCCAGGAGAUUCUCAGGAAAAUACAGAUAAGCCCCAUCUGGUUAUAAAAAGGGAGAUUUUGGGACCAUCCCUGCGUGGUUUUUUCAUCCAUCUUCAUACAUCCAUGGGCUUCGGGGAGAGGAAAGAGAGACGCUGAGGCAGAAAGGAGCCGGCGGCGAUGGCGACGAGCAGGACGCGGUGGCUCCCAAUCUGCCUGGCGCUCUUCUGUGGUCUUUCCACCGCAUCUUUCCGUGGCAAGGAAUUCUUCACCGUCUUCCUGCAGAAUUACGAUGAAUUCAGCCACCCCGACAUCCACCUCCUCCUUACGGCUUACUUCAACUCCACCAAGGUGACGGUGAGAGCGCACGGCGGCACCUUCGCCAACAGCGUCAUCCUUGGCA
Molecule: long non-coding RNA, 808 nt
Organism: Tyto alba (common barn owl)
Lineage: Eukaryota; Metazoa; Chordata; Aves; Strigiformes; Tytonidae
Exons: 3
Source: RefSeq, a predicted model, not a curated record